CUAUCAGUCUGUUGCCCCCUCCGUCUAUAAAAGGGGGGCCCCAGUACGUUAUUCUCUAAGCUCAAAAUUCUAUCCCAAAACUCUGCUAAAAUUUUCGUUCGAGCACUCCAUUCUUGUUGAGGCAGAGAACUGACUUGAGCAUCGGAGGGUCUUGCCGGAGUAACCCCACCUCCGAUUUAGACUUCUUUUGCAGGUUCCGGCGGCGACCGCGACUCCCUCGACUCCAGUUUCUCCGGCAC
This 239-nucleotide long non-coding RNA is filed under the name Elaeis guineensis (African oil palm). RNAcentral's name for it is "long non-coding RNA (EGUI_LNC018114)". The record is from RNAcentral. Lineage: Eukaryota; Viridiplantae; Streptophyta; Magnoliopsida; Arecales; Arecaceae.